This 65-nucleotide transfer RNA is filed under the name Discocelis tigrina. RNAcentral describes it as "tRNA-Trp". Lineage: Eukaryota; Metazoa; Platyhelminthes; Polycladida; Discocelidae. The record is from RNAcentral.
AGAUUCUUAGGUUAUAUAGACCAUAAGCCUUCAAAGCUUAUAGAGAAAAGUUUUUUCAGAUUCUG